Long non-coding RNA from Hordeum vulgare subsp. vulgare (domesticated barley), 466 nucleotides. RefSeq lists it as uncharacterized. The transcript has 3 exons. The record is from RefSeq and is a predicted model, not a curated record. NCBI's taxonomy places the organism in Eukaryota, Viridiplantae, Streptophyta, Magnoliopsida, Poales, Poaceae.
AGGCUGUUUGUUCCUAGUGCAGAUUAAGGCAAAAUAUUUGAGCCUAAGCAAAGCAGUUGCUGCCCUAAGCUCCAGAUUCAAGCCUGUAGUAGCAUGGGUUGAAUUCACAGAGUUAGCGUGGACGUUCGUCAGAGAAAACUACAAGUUACAGGUAGCAUCACUUGUAUUAUUCAAAGACAUGGUUGCCUCAUCCAACAGGUGGAACUAAGCGCCUCAGAUGUUGGCCUUCAUUCAUGUUUCGUCGCAAGGUCCAGGACGAAGAAGUCAGGAGAAGCCUAAAGUUCUUGAUCAUUGGAGCUAGUUAUUGUUUUGAUUUUUUAGUUGUGUUACCUGAUGUGAACUAGUUUUGAUUGUAAACCUCAUGCGAACCAUGUUUGAUUGAAAUGUGCCAAGUUUGGAUAUGUUUGAUUGUAUUCAUGAUGUGACAGAGGAUCAAGUUAUAAUGGUUGUUUGACAUAUUUUCUAA